RNAcentral lists this ribosomal RNA (437 nucleotides) under uncultured bacterium. Its description in RNAcentral is "partial 16S ribosomal RNA". It matches the Rfam family "Bacterial small subunit ribosomal RNA", at positions 29 to 507 of the family's 1533-position model. The record is from RNAcentral.
AGCGAACGCUGGCGGCAGGCUUAACACAUGUAAGUCGAGCGGGCAUCCUUGUGGUGUCAGCGGCAGACGGGUGAGUAACGCGUGGGAACGUGCCCUUCGGUUCGGAAUAACUCAGGGAAACUUGAGCUAAUACCGGAUACGUGCGAGAGCAGAAAGGUUUAUCUGCCGAAGGAUCGGCCCGCGUCUGAUUAGCUAGUUGGUGAGGUUACGGCUCACCAAGGCGACGAUCAGUAGCUGGUCUGAGAGGAUGAUCAGCCACACUGGGACUGAGACACGGCCCAGACUCCUACGGGAGGCAGCAGUGGGGAAUAUUGGACAAUGGGGGCAACCCUGAUCCAGCCAUGCCGCGUGAGUGAUGACGGCCUUAGGGUUGUAAAGCUCUUUUCUCCGGGACGAUAAUGACGGUACCGGAGGAAUAAGCCCCGGCUAACUUCGUG